UACGAGGGGGGGCAAAUGUUGUUCGGAAUCACUGGGCGUAAAGGGCGCGUAGGCGGCCAUUCAAGUGACGGGUGAAAGCCCUCGGCUUAACCGAGGAACUGCCUGUCAGACUGGAUGGCUUGAGACCGGGAGAGGUGAGUGGAAUUCCCAGUGUAGCGGUGAAAUGCGUAGAUAUUGGGAGGAACACCAGUGGCGAAGGCGGCUCACUGGACCGGAACUGACGCUGAGGCGCGAAAGCGUGGGGAGCAAACAGG
This 254-nucleotide ribosomal RNA is filed under the name uncultured bacterium. RNAcentral describes it as "partial 16S ribosomal RNA". It matches the Rfam family "Bacterial small subunit ribosomal RNA", at positions 524 to 776 of the family's 1533-position model. The record is from RNAcentral.